Molecule: transfer RNA, 72 nt
Filed under: Phakopsora pachyrhizi
Lineage: Eukaryota; Fungi; Basidiomycota; Pucciniomycetes; Pucciniales; Phakopsoraceae
Description: tRNA-Ser
Rfam family: tRNA
About the family: Transfer RNA (tRNA) molecules are approximately 80 nucleotides in length. Their secondary structure includes four short double-helical elements and three loops (D, anti-codon, and T loops).
Source: RNAcentral
GUGAACUUAGCUCAGUUGUUAGAGCAUCACUCUUGAAUGUUGAGGUUGCAGGUUCAAUUCCUGCAGUGCAUG